CUACGGGAUGCAGCAGUGGGGAAUAUUGCACAAUGGGCGCAAGCCUGAUGCAGCCAUGCCGCGUGUAUGAAGAAGGCCUUCGGGUUGUAAAGUACUUUCAGCGGGGAGGAAGGGAGUAAAGUUAAUACCUUUGCUCAUUGACGUUACCCGCGGAAGAAGCACCGGCUAACUCCGUGCCAGCAGCCGCGGUAAUACGGAGGGUGCAAGCGUUAAUCGGAAUUACUGGGCGUAAAACGCACGCAGGCGGUUUGUUAAGUCAGAUGUGAAAUCCCCGGGCUCAACCUGGGAACUGCAUCUGAUACUGGCGAGCUUGAGUCUCGUAGAGGGGGGUAGAAUUCCAGGUGUAGCGGUGAAAUGCGUAGAGAUCUGGAGGAAUACCGGUGGCGAAGGCGGCCCCCUGGACGAAGACUGACGCUCAGGUGCGAAAGCGUGGGGAGCAAACAGGAUUAGAUACCCCCGUAGUC
Molecule: ribosomal RNA, 464 nt
Filed under: uncultured bacterium
Lineage: Bacteria
Description: partial 16S ribosomal RNA
Rfam family: Bacterial small subunit ribosomal RNA
Source: RNAcentral